This 253-nucleotide ribosomal RNA is filed under the name uncultured bacterium. RNAcentral describes it as "partial 16S ribosomal RNA". It matches the Rfam family "Bacterial small subunit ribosomal RNA", at positions 524 to 776 of the family's 1533-position model. The record is from RNAcentral.
UACAGAGGAGCCAAGCGUUGUCCGGAUUUAUUGGGCGUAAAGAGCUCGUAGGCGGCUUGUCGCGUCGUCCGUGAAAACCUGGGGCUCAACUCCGAGCUUGCAGUCGAUACGGGCAGGCUAGAGUGCGGCAGGGGAGACUGGAAUUCCUGGUGUAGCGGUGAAAUGCGCAGAUAUCAGGAGGAACACUGGUGGCGAAGGCGGGUCUCUGGGCCGAUACUGACGCUGAGGAGCGAAAGCGUGGGGAGCAAACAGG